UUCGUCUGUCGUUUAUGAGGAUGAGCACCUCCGCAGGAGGUUCGAGCCUCGCGAAGCGAGACAACGUUGCUUCAGCAACGGCCCGCAGGGCGC
This 93-nucleotide small RNA is filed under the name Serratia nevei. RNAcentral describes it as "partial RtT sRNA". It matches the Rfam family "RtT RNA", at positions 1 to 94 of the family's 130-position model. Rfam says of the family: This family represents a bacterial cis-regulatory element known as RtT RNA. The exact function of RtT is unknown although it is thought that it may be involved in changing the cellular response in relation to amino acid starvation. Lineage: Bacteria; Pseudomonadati; Pseudomonadota; Gammaproteobacteria; Enterobacterales; Yersiniaceae. The record is from RNAcentral.